Molecule: ribosomal RNA, 369 nt
Filed under: Cheirodes pilosus
Lineage: Eukaryota; Metazoa; Arthropoda; Insecta; Coleoptera; Tenebrionidae
Description: partial 12S ribosomal RNA
Source: RNAcentral
GAUACCCUAUUAUUGCAAGUGUAAAUUUUAACCUUAAACUAUUAAUAGUUAUGUUCUUUAAAAUUAAAUGAUUUGGCGGUAUUUUAGUCUUUUCAGAGGAACCUGUUUUUUGAUUGAUAAUCCACGAUAAUUUUUACUUUAGUUAUUAAUUUGCAUAUCGUCGUUUAUAAAAAUUUCAUAAGAAUAUAAAUUUUUUUGAUUUUUAAUGAGAAAGUAAUUCAGAUCAAGGUGUAGUUUAUAUUAAAGGUAAAAUGGGUUACAUUAUAUUUAUGUGUGGUUCUAUGUUUUAAAAGCAUAGAUAAAAUGGAUUUGAUAGUAAGUCUUUUAUUUUUGAAGAUUGAUUUAGCUCUAAAAUAUGCACACAUCGCC